Molecule: ribosomal RNA, 298 nt
Filed under: uncultured bacterium
Lineage: Bacteria
Description: partial 16S ribosomal RNA
Rfam family: Bacterial small subunit ribosomal RNA
Source: RNAcentral
GACGAACGCUGGCGGCGUGCUUAACACAUGCAAGUCGAGCGGUAAGGCCCUUUCGGGGGUACACGAGCGGCGGAACGGGUGAGUAACACGUGGGUGACCUGCCCUCAGCUCUGGGACUAAGCCUGGGAAACCGGGUCUAAUACCGGAUAUGACUCCACUGACGCAUGUUGUGGGGUGGAAAGACCUUGUGCGGCUGAGGAUGGGCCCGCGGCCUAUCAGCUUGUUGGUGGGGUGAUGGCCUACCAAGGCGACGACGGGUAGCCGGCCUGAGAGGGCGACCGGCCACACUGGGACUGAG